This 30-nucleotide non-coding RNA is filed under the name Rattus norvegicus (Norway rat). Lineage: Eukaryota; Metazoa; Chordata; Mammalia; Rodentia; Muridae. The record is from RNAcentral.
UGAAAAGGGAUAAUAAACAAGUCACAUUUU